Molecule: ribosomal RNA, 368 nt
Filed under: uncultured bacterium
Lineage: Bacteria
Description: bacterial SSU rRNA
Rfam family: Bacterial small subunit ribosomal RNA
Source: RNAcentral
AUUGAACGCUGGCGGCAUGCCUUACACAUGCAAGUCGAACGGUAACGCGGGGGCAACCCUGGCGACGAGUGGCGAACGGGUGAGUAAUACAUCGGAACGUACCCAGUAGUGGGGGAUAGCUCGGCGAAAGCCGGAUUAAUACCGCAUACGACCUAUGGGUGAAAGCGGGGGAUCGCAAGACCUCGCGCUAUUGGAGCGGCCGAUGUCGGAUUAGCUAGUUGGUGAGGUAAAGGCNCACCAAGGCUACGAUCCGUAGCUGGUCUGAGAGGACGACCAGCCACACUGGGACUGAGACACGGCCCAGACUCCUACGGGAGGCAGCAGUGGGGAAUUUUGGACAAUGGGCGAAAGCCUGAUCCAGCCAUGCC